UAAUUUGAGAGUUUGAUCCUGGCUCAGGACGAACGCUGGCGGCGUGCCUAAUACAUGCAAGUCGAACGAACUCUGGUAUUGAUUGGUGCUUGCAUCAUGAUUUACAUUUGAGUGAGUGGCGAACUGGUGAGUAACACGUGGGAAACCUGCCCAGAAGCGGGGGAUAACACCUGGAAACAGAUGCUAAUACCGCAUAACAACUUGGACCGCAUGGUCCGAGCUUGAAAGAUGGCUUCGGCUAUCACUUUUGGAUGGUCCCGCGGCGUAUUAGCUAGA
RNAcentral lists this ribosomal RNA (276 nucleotides) under Lactiplantibacillus plantarum. Its description in RNAcentral is "partial 16S ribosomal RNA". It matches the Rfam family "Bacterial small subunit ribosomal RNA", at positions 1 to 249 of the family's 1533-position model. The record is from RNAcentral. Lineage: Bacteria; Bacillati; Bacillota; Bacilli; Lactobacillales; Lactobacillaceae.